This 936-nucleotide ribosomal RNA is filed under the name Triticum aestivum (bread wheat). Its description in RNAcentral is "partial small subunit ribosomal RNA". Lineage: Eukaryota; Viridiplantae; Streptophyta; Magnoliopsida; Poales; Poaceae. The record is from RNAcentral.
AUGAAGGGCUUGAAAUUGUCCGCAGCGGAGAGGAAGGGCUUGAAGAUUGGUGAGAAGGAAAAGGGGAAGGUGUUUGACUGGGCUACAGAUGAACCGCAGGCAGUGGGGAAGUUGUUCUCGGAGAAGCUAGCGCAUGCAGGUGUGGUCGGCAAUACACUAGGCAGAAUCUGGUGUCCGAUCAAGGGGUUAGGGUGCAGCGAAUUGAGGGAGAACAUCUUUCUGUUCACCUUCAGGCAACCAGUGGGACGGAGGAGGGCCUUGGAGGAUGGGCCAUGGUGGUUCGAUAAGGAAUUACUAGUGAUUGAGAAAUUUGAUCCGGAAAAAACUUUGGAAGAGUAUGAUUUCAACCUCAUCCCGAUAUGGAUCCGGGUCUAUGGCUUACCUCUUGGAUCCAUGAAUAGAGCUAUGGGGGAGCUGAUAGGGAGUGACUUUCAUGAAGUGCUGGACGUGGAUGUUGGUCAUGAUGGUAGAGCGGUGGGAAAAUUUCUUCGGAUCAAAGUGAAACUCGAUAUAAAUGAACCGCUUAUGAGAGGCUUCACUCUAGACAGGAAUGAUGAACAAAGCCCCAAAGCAUCAAAAGGAGAUGCAAAUGGAGGAGAAGAGAGGAAGAAAAAGAAGAAGCUUGUUUGGUGCCGCUUUGAGUACGAGUACAUGCCAGACUUUUGCUAUACGUGUGGCAUCAUUGGCCAUAGUGAGAAAGACUGCAUUUCCAAGCCCCCUAAGGGGGAGGCACCAUAAUUCGGUCCAUGGAUGCGAGCUGAGGAAGAUAAUAGGAAAGGGGAUGACAACAUUAGGGGAAAGUGGCUGGAUAGUAGAGGAAGUGGCGGAAGCAGGGGUUAUGGUGGAGCUAGGAGCAAUUCUGGGUCAUAUGGAUAUGCAAAGGGUGACCGCCGUCAGUACAACUUUGGGAAAGGUAGGUACUCAAUCAGGCAGUGA